Phragmites australis (common reed) is the source of this 2206-nucleotide long non-coding RNA. RefSeq lists it as uncharacterized. The record is from RefSeq and is a predicted model, not a curated record. Lineage: Eukaryota; Viridiplantae; Streptophyta; Magnoliopsida; Poales; Poaceae. The transcript is spliced from 4 exons.
AUCUGGUGAGGCGUUGUCCAUCCUUUCCCUCUGUGCGUGCCUCCAUCCAUCGCCGAUGCAUCCUCGUAGAAGUAGAAAGAAGCAGCAACAUGUGCACGACGACAGAACCCCGCCCGCAGUCUCCGGAGCGAAACAAGGAGAAGCAGCAGUAUCCCCUAUUUCUCGCUCCCCGACGCCUCUAAACCCUACAACACCCAGAACCACCAUCGGCCACCCAUGGUGCACUCACUCCCAACUCCCCACCCGCGGACAUGAUCCCCCACCGCCGAUGGAGGACCCAGGAUUGUCGACCGCCGCCCCUGAUCCUCCUCCGCUCCUGAUCCUCCUCCGCCCCCACCGGAGGACGAUAGGUGGGUGCUCCUGCCGGCCAGCGACGUCGAGGGUGCCUACGCGCCCAAGGUCUUCCACUGGGAGGACCUGCAGCAGGACCUCACGCACCUCUGGAACCUCUACGCCGUGCUCCAAACCGCCAGGGACGGCAAGACGCACCUCGCCGCGCUCGUCGAAUCCGCACUAGAGUCCUGAAUUUGGCAGAUUGGAUUCGUUCCGAUUGUGCUUCGAGUGUGAGAAAAAGAGAGAACCCACAUUCCCAAUUCUCGACGACACAACUCCUGAAAUCGAUUGAGUUCUAUCCAUGGAGUCAUUCUCCCAGGGACGGGGCUUUAUUGUGAAAACCAAUCUGUACUUAUCAAUUGUCAAUUGUCCUAUCAAUUGUCAUGCUAUAUAAUAAUUUUCUUUUGGUACUGUGCAGUUAAUGACAUCACAUUAUCAAAACAAUGGGGAGCUAUGGAUGCCUUGUAUCAACAGUUGGCUAAUUCGAUCAGAUUUCCGUCCUCAAAUGGCUAUCUCAUAAUCGAAGCAAAUGGUGGUCUGAAUCAUCAACGACUUUCUAUCUGCGAUGCAGUUGCUGUGGCCAGCUUGCUUAAUGCAACUCUUGUGAUCCCAACAUUUCAUUUGAAUAGCGUCUGGCGUGAUCCUAGGUGACUUUUUGUCUGAACCGUGAUCCAUUGUUUCCUUACAUAAAGAGUGCCUUUUUAAUCUGUGCUUGCCUGUCUUUUUUAUUGGGAAAUACUUGUUAAAGUCCGAAUCAGUUUGUAGAAGUUCUAAAGUGAAUGUUUGUUAAUAGAGACAAUAUUAAACUGCAAACAUUCUGAUUUGAGAAUGAUCAUUGGUCGAGUGAUAAAUCCUGAGGCAAACAGAAGGGAUGGAAAAUGCCCUCUUACUCCUCUAGAGGUUAGGACCUAAUCCUACAGGUACCUCACACUUCCUAAUCCUACUGUGUCGCAUCUCGCCCCGCUUCGUCUUCACCCUGAUUCAUUUACGUUUAUAGCUACACCCGCACCAGCCUACCACUGUGCUCUCCCCAAUCUGAACCUCCGAGUAACACUAGACUAGGUUGCCAUGUCAAAAAUCCAAAUGGUUCGGUGGUUGUUAGGUGCUGUAAAUAUAAUUAUGUUAUGUGGUUCCUGAAUUGUUUGAGUCGGAGGCUUCUACGAUUUAAGCCAACUGUGAUGUAUAAUGAACUGUUCGUAUAUUUUGACCUAUAAAACUGCACAGAAGGUAUAGGUUGUUUGAUUUGUAUACUUGGUGUCAUCCUUUGAAUAAUAGGGGAUAGCUGUUUUGGGACCCAAAUGACUUUAUUUAGUGGUAACAUUUGGUGAGAUAGCAUGAUUCGGUUAUCAUCAAAAUAGAAUUGCCCUCCCGAGGAUCUCUGCAAUUUGGCUGUUUUGAGGGACCGGGACCAAUCGCAUUGUCUUUCGUUGCUGAUGGUUGCUCUCUAUUCAUCAUUUUUGUGAUGUCACAUUUUUUCGCUCCAUAUUAUAAGGUCUACAGAGAGCCAUCAAACAAGGCUUGCAUUCGGAAAAUAUAUACAGAGUUUGUUUGAUUCAGAUUUUUAUGCAGAAGUCUUUAGAUGUAUUUUGUUUCCUUUUCAAUAUGAGUUUGCAGUAAGCUUUGUGAAAAACUUGGAAAGUAUGGUCUCGUGAAACCUAAACAAGUUGUGUGAAGUCUUGUUACUCCGUUACGUAUGAAUGAGAGGAUGAACAACAAUGUCGCUCCAAAAAAGCAACCAGAUGUGUUCGAGGGCGCCUUGCUAUCUUAACGAGAUAAAUCCAAGAUUGAACGAAGAAAGAGAAAAAAUGAGAGGAAAAAAGAGGUAUUAUGUUCACUAUUUUCUUCUUUACAUGAGCAUCAUACAAAUUUAAAG